Molecule: ribosomal RNA, 489 nt
Filed under: uncultured bacterium
Lineage: Bacteria
Description: bacterial SSU rRNA
Rfam family: Bacterial small subunit ribosomal RNA
Source: RNAcentral
AGUUUGAUCAUGGCUCAGGAUGAACGCUGGCGGCGUGCCUUAAUACAUGCAAGUCGAACGGUAAGGCUUCACUCUGUGUUUAAUGAUUUGAACAUAGUGUGGAAGUACACGAGUGGCGGACGGCUGAGUAACGCGUAGGAAUGUACCCCAAAGUGAGGGAUAAGCACCGGAAACGGUGUCUAAUACCGCAUGUGCUCUAAGGAGUAAAGCUUCGGCGCUUUGGGAACGGCCUGCGUAUGAUUAGCUUGUUGGUGAGGUAAUGGCUCACCAAGGCGACGAUCAUUAGCUGGUCUGAGAGGAUGAUCAGCCAGACUGGGACUGAGACACGGCCCAGACUCCUACGGGAGGCAGCAGUAGGGAAUUUUCCACAAUGGGCGAAAGCCUGAUGGAGCAACGCCGCGUGCAGGAUGAAGGCCUUCGGGUUGUAAACUGCUUUUAUAAGUGAAGAUUAUGACGGUAACUUAUGAAUAAGGAUCGGCUAACUCCGUG